This 315-nucleotide long non-coding RNA is filed under the name Nilaparvata lugens (brown planthopper). RNAcentral describes it as "uncharacterized LOC120352593". The record is from RNAcentral. Lineage: Eukaryota; Metazoa; Arthropoda; Insecta; Hemiptera; Delphacidae.
GGGAUUUCUUACAAAGGAUAGGUGGAGGGAAUGUGGAGGACGCGGUCGGAGAGCACUCUAGUCCGACUGUUUACUAAUGAAUUGGCCAAAAACUUCAGCUGGGAGGCAGGAAGGGGAGAGGGCCUUAAACAGCCUUCUGAUUAUUAAAACCCUGGAGAAAGUUGUUGCUGCGUCGCAUACAGACUUUACCAGCAAGCUGUUUGAAAUACGGGUGAAGGAGUGGUUCCGGCAGUCUGGAACCAGAAUUUAUAAUCUAAAAAAAUAAUAAGUUUCACUGAAUUUAUUAUUUAAAUAAAUAUGCAUUUUCAAGCAGUA